This 74-nucleotide transfer RNA is filed under the name Arenicella xantha. It matches the Rfam family "tRNA". Rfam says of the family: Transfer RNA (tRNA) molecules are approximately 80 nucleotides in length. The record is from Rfam by way of RNAcentral. Lineage: Bacteria; Pseudomonadati; Pseudomonadota; Gammaproteobacteria; Arenicellales; Arenicellaceae.
CGGGGUGUAGCGCAGUCUGGUAGCGCACCGCUCUGGGGGAGCGGUGGUCACAGGUUCGAAUCCUGUCAUCCCGA